RNAcentral lists this ribosomal RNA (1206 nucleotides) under Vibrio sp. RNAcentral's name for it is "bacterial SSU rRNA". It matches the Rfam family "Bacterial small subunit ribosomal RNA", at positions 32 to 1218 of the family's 1533-position model. The record is from RNAcentral. Lineage: Bacteria; Pseudomonadati; Pseudomonadota; Gammaproteobacteria; Vibrionales; Vibrionaceae.
GACGCUGGCGGCAGGCCUAACACAUGCAAGUCGAGCGGAAACGACACUAACAAUCCUUCGGGUGCGUUAAUGGGCGUCGAGCGGCGGACGGGUGAGUAAUGCCUAGGAAAUUGCCUUGAUGUGGGGGAUAACCAUUGGAAACGAUGGCUAAUACCGCAUGAUGCCUACGGGCCAAAGAGGGGGACCUUCGGGCCUCUCGCGUCAAGAUAUGCCUAGGUGGGAUUAGCUAGUUGGUGAGGUAAUGGCUCACCAAGGCGACGAUCCCUAGCUGGUCUGAGAGGAUGAUCAGCCACACUGGAACUGAGACACGGUCCAGACUCCUACGGGAGGCAGCAGUGGGGAAUAUUGCACAAUGGGCGCAAGCCUGAUGCAGCCAUGCCGCGUGUAUGAAGAAGGCCUUCGGGUUGUAAAGUACUUUCAGUUGUGAGGAAGGGGGUGUUGUUAAUAGCAACAUCUCUUGACGUUAGCAACAGAAGAAGCACCGGCUAACUCCGUGCCAGCAGCCGCGGUAAUACGGAGGGUGCGAGCGUUAAUCGGAAUUACUGGGCGUAAAGCGCAUGCAGGUGGUUCAUUAAGUCAGAUGUGAAAGCCCGGGGCUCAACCUCGGAACUGCAUUUGAAACUGGUGAACUAGAGUACUGUAGAGGGGGGUAGAAUUUCAGGUGUAGCGGUGAAAUGCGUAGAGAUCUGAAGGAAUACCAGUGGCGAAGGCGGCCCCCUGGACAGAUACUGACACUCAGAUGCGAAAGCGUGGGGAGCAAACAGGAUUAGAUACCCUGGUAGUCCACGCCGUAAACGAUGUCUACUUGGAGGUUGUGGCCUUGAGCCGUGGCUUUCGGAGCUAACGCGUUAAGUAGACCGCCUGGGGAGUACGGUCGCAAGAUUAAAACUCAAAUGAAUUGACGGGGGCCCGCACAAGCGGUGGAGCAUGUGGUUUAAUUCGAUGCAACGCGAAGAACCUUACCUACUCUUGACAUCCAGAGAAUCCAGCGGAGACGCAGGAGUGCCUUCGGGAGCUCUGAGACAGGUGCUGCAUGGCUGUCGUCAGCUCGUGUUGUGAAAUGUUGGGUUAAGUCCCGCAACGAGCGCAACCCUUAUCCUUGUUUGCCAGCGAGUCAUGUCGGGAACUCCAGGGAGACUGCCGGUGAUAAACCGGAGGAAGGUGGGGACAACGUCAAGUCUCAUGGCCCUUACAGAAAGGGGUACA